ACUCCUACGGGAGGCAGCAGUGGGGAAUAUUGCACAAUGGGGGAAACCCUGAUGCAGCCAUGCCGCGUGUGUGAAGAAGGCCUUCGGGUUGUAAAGCACUUUCAGUAGGGAGGAAGGUAGUGUAGUUAACACCUGCAUUAUUUGACGUUACCUACAGAAGAAGCGCCGGCUAACUCCGUGCCAGCAGCCGCGGUAAUACGGAGGGUGCGAGCGUUAAUCGGAAUUACUGGGCGUAAAGCGCAUGCAGGCGGCCUGUUAAGUCAGAUGUGAAAGCCCGGGGCUUAACCUCGGAAUUGCAUUUGAAACUGGCAGGCUAGAGUCUUGUAGAGGGGUUAGAAUUUCAGGUGUAGCGGUGAAAUGCGUAGAGAUCUGAAGGAAUACCAGUGGCGAAGGCGGCCCCUGGACAAAGACUGACGCUCAGAUGCGAAAGCGUGGGAGCAAACAGGAUUAGAUACCCCGUGGUAGCGACUGA
RNAcentral lists this ribosomal RNA (472 nucleotides) under uncultured bacterium. RNAcentral's name for it is "bacterial SSU rRNA". It matches the Rfam family "Bacterial small subunit ribosomal RNA", at positions 335 to 803 of the family's 1533-position model. The record is from RNAcentral.